Molecule: ribosomal RNA, 493 nt
Filed under: Rhacophorus sp. AH-2014a
Lineage: Eukaryota; Metazoa; Chordata; Amphibia; Anura; Rhacophoridae
Also listed under: 1 other name
Description: partial 16S ribosomal RNA
Rfam family: Bacterial large subunit ribosomal RNA
Source: RNAcentral
AGCCUGCCCGGUGAUAUAUUUAACGGCCGCGGUAUCCUAACCGCGCGAAGGUAGCAUAAUCACUUGUUCUUUAAAUAGGGACUAGUAUCAACGGCAUCACGAGGGUUGCACUGUCUCCUCUUUCCAAUCAGUGAAACUGAUCUCCACGUGAAGAAGCGCGGAUACAAUAAUAAGACGAGAAGACCCCAUGGAGCUUUAAACCCACAGCAAUUCUGGCAUAUAGCCCAUAAUAUUUUACAGGAACAUGCACACCGGCUUUAGGUUGGGGCGACCGCGGAGUACAGACUAACCUCCACGACGAAAAGAGCUAAAUCUUUAUCCAAGAGCCACCGCUCUAAGAAUUAGUACACUAACGAACGUGACCCGAUAAUCGAUCAACGGACCAAGUUACCCUGGGGAUAACAGCGCAAUCUACUUCAAGAGCCCAUAUCGACAAGUAGGCUUACGACCUCGAUGUUGGAUCAGGGUAUCCAGGUGGUGCAGCCGCUACUAA